AGAGUUUGAUCCUGGCUCAGAAUCAACGCUGGCGGCAUNNNNNCACAUGCAAGUCGAGCGAGAAAGGGUAGCAAUACCUGAGUACAGCGGCGCACGGGUGAGUAACACGUGGAUAACCUGCCUCAAAGUGGGGAAUAACACCGGGAAACCGGUGCUAAUACCGCAUAUUCUGAUGAGAUCUGUGGAUUUUGUCAGUAAAGGAGCAAUUCGCUAUGAGAGGGGUCCGCGGCUGAUUAGCUAGUUGGUGGGGUAAUGGCUCACCAAGGCAACGAUCAGUAGCCGGUCUGAGAGGACGGUCGGCCACACUGGAACUGAGACACGGUCCAGACUCCUACGGGAGGCAGCAGUGGGGAAUUUUUCGCAAUGGGGGAAACCCUGACGAAGCAAUGCCGCGUGGAUGAUGAAGUAUUUCGGUACGUAAAAUCCUUUCGACGGGGACGAAACCGCAAGGUUGACGGUACCCGUAGAAGAAGCCCCGGCUAACUCCGUGCCAGCAGCCGCGGUAAUACGGGGGGGGCAAGCGUUGUUCGGAAUUACUGGGCGUAAAGGGUGCGUAGGCGGCUUUCUAAGUUGGAUGUGAAAACUCUGGGCUCAACCCAGAGACUGCAUCCAAAACUGGAGAGCUUGGGUUCUGGAGGGGAAAGCGGAAUUCCUGGUGUAGCGGUGAAAUGCGUAGAUAUCAGGAGGAACACCGGUGGCGAAGGCGGCUUUCUGGACAGAUACCGACGCUGAGGCACGAAAGCUAGGGGAGCAAACAGGAUUAGAUACCCUAGUAGUCC
This 779-nucleotide ribosomal RNA is filed under the name uncultured bacterium. RNAcentral's name for it is "bacterial SSU rRNA". It matches the Rfam family "Bacterial small subunit ribosomal RNA", at positions 8 to 796 of the family's 1533-position model. The record is from RNAcentral.